This 526-nucleotide ribosomal RNA is filed under the name uncultured bacterium. RNAcentral's name for it is "bacterial SSU rRNA". It matches the Rfam family "Bacterial small subunit ribosomal RNA", at positions 335 to 857 of the family's 1533-position model. The record is from RNAcentral.
CACUUCCGGGUGGCAGCAGUGCGGAAUAUUGUACAAUGGGCGCAAGCCUGAUCUAGCAAAGCGGCGUGUGUGAAGAAAGCCUUCUGGUUGUAAAGCACUUUUAUGUCGAGAGAGAUCUGCAGGGCUAAAACCCAUGCAGUCUUUGGGUACCACAGGAAUAAAAGCACGGGCUAAUUUCGUGCCAGCAGCCGCGGUAAUACGGGGUGUGCGAGCGUUAUUCGGAAUCACUGGGUAAAAAGUGUGCGCAGGCGGUUAUGUAAGUCAGGUGGUGAAAUCCGGGGGCUCAACCUGGGAACUGGUGGAGUGUGGGGAAGAGAGAGUGGUAGAGAGUAGUGUGGAAUUCGGUGUAGAGCAGUGAAAUUAGAGAUAUGGGGAGGAACCCCGACGGAGAAAGCAGCCCUGGACCAGCACUCUCACGGUGUCGCGAAAAAGUGGGGAGCAAACACGAGAUUAGAUCCCGGUAGUCCACGCCCUAAAAGCAAGAACAGGAGAUGAGGGCAACUAGCACUCAGUAUCGAAGCUAACG